RNAcentral lists this unclassified non-coding RNA (378 nucleotides) under plant metagenome. Its description in RNAcentral is "partial contains 5.8S ribosomal RNA, internal transcribed spacer 2, and large subunit ribosomal RNA". The stretch from base 1 to 105 matches the Rfam family "5.8S ribosomal RNA", at positions 50 to 154 of the family's 154-position model. The record is from RNAcentral.
GAAAUGCGAUAAGUAAUGUGAAUUGCAGAAUUCAGUGAAUCAUCGAAUCUUUGAACGCACCUUGCGCUCCUUGGUAUUCCUUGGAGCAUGCCUGUUUGAGUAUCAUGAAAUCUUCAAAGUAAAUCUUUUGUUAACUCAAUUGGUUUCUACUUUGGUAUUGGAGGUCUUUGCAGCUUCACACCUGCUCCUCUUUGUUCAUUAGCUGGAUCUCAGUGUUAUGCUUGGUUCCACUCGGCGUGAUAAGUUAUCUAUCGCUGAGGACACUGUAAAAGGUGGCCAAGGUAAAUGCAGAUGAACCGCUUCUAAUAGUCCAUUGACUUGGACAAUACUUUUAUGAUCUGAACUCAAAUCAGGUAGGACUACCCGCUUAACUUAAGC